AGCUCCAAUAGCGUAUAUUAAAGUUGCUGCAGUUAAAAAGCUCGUAGUUGGAUUUGUGGCGUGGUCGUCCGGCGGGGCUCCUUCAUUGGGGCCGUUUGUCUGGUUUUUCGACCGCACCAUUCUCGGGUAGUGUGUCGCUGGCAUUAGGUUGUCGGCUUCUUCACGCCCGUCGUUUACUGUGAAAAAAUUAGAGUGUUCAAAGCAGGCUUAGGCCGUUGGAUACAUUAGCAUGGAAUAAUGAGAUAGGGCCACGGCGGUCUAUUUUGUUGGUUUGCACGUUGUGGUAAUGAUUAACAGGAACGGUUGGGGGUAUUCGUAUUCAAUUGUCAGAGGUGAAAUUCUUGGAUUUGUGGAAGACGAACUACUGCGAAAGCAUUUACCAAGGAUGUUUUCAUUAAUC
Molecule: ribosomal RNA, 400 nt
Filed under: phytoplankton environmental sample
Lineage: Eukaryota
Description: partial small subunit ribosomal RNA
Rfam family: Eukaryotic small subunit ribosomal RNA
Source: RNAcentral